UGGGGAAUAUUGCACAAUGGGCGCAAGCCUGAUGCAGCAACGCCGCGUGAACGAUGAAGGUCUUCGGAUCGUAAAGUUCUGUUGCAGGGGAAGAUAAUGACGGUACUCUGUGAGGAAGCCCCGGCUAACUACGUGCCAGCAGCCGCGGUAAUACGUAGGGGGCUAGCGUUAUCCGGAUUUACUGGGCGUAAAGGGUGCGUAGGUGGUCUUUCAAGUCGGUGGUUAAAGGCUACGGCUCAACCGUAGUUAGCCUCCGAAACUGGAAGACUUGAGUGCAGGAGAGGAAAGUGGAAUUCCCAGUGUAGCGGUGAAAUGCGUAGAUAUUGGGAGGAACACCAGUAGCGAAGGCGGCUUUCUGGACUGCAACUGACACUGAGGCACGAAAGCGUGGGUAGCAAACAGG
RNAcentral lists this ribosomal RNA (403 nucleotides) under Verrucomicrobiota bacterium. RNAcentral's name for it is "Verrucomicrobia bacterium partial 16S ribosomal RNA". It matches the Rfam family "Bacterial small subunit ribosomal RNA", at positions 355 to 776 of the family's 1533-position model. Lineage: Bacteria; Pseudomonadati; Verrucomicrobiota. The record is from RNAcentral.